RNAcentral lists this non-coding RNA (246 nucleotides) under Paenibacillus sp. RNAcentral's name for it is "T-box sequence". It matches the Rfam family "T-box leader". From Rfam's summary of the family: Uncharged tRNA acts as the effector for transcription antitermination of genes in the T-box leader family. The record is from RNAcentral. Lineage: Bacteria; Bacillati; Bacillota; Bacilli; Caryophanales; Paenibacillaceae.
UAUGGAGCGUUGAAGAGGAAUAGUAAUUUCGUUUGUAAGGUCUAGAGAGCCGGCGAUUAUGGUGCAAGCCGGUCCUGCUGCGAAAUGAAGCUCGCCUUGGAGCUGUGCGAUUAAGGGGCCGAUGCACGGAAUCGGCUGCGGAAAGCACCGUCUGGCCUGCGAUAAAGGCGACAAGUGAGCGAUGGGCAAAGCAUGCCUGCCGCUAACUAGGGUGGUACCACGGGAGAACAACCUCUCGUCCCUAGC